GCCCGCAGCUAUAUCACCGUGCAGCUCUCAACUUGGUACCCAUUGAAACUAAGCAAGGUUGAGCCUGGUCAGUACCUGGAUGGGAGACCUCCUGGGAAACUACAGUUGCUGCUGGAA
Molecule: ribosomal RNA, 117 nt
Filed under: Lepisosteus oculatus (spotted gar)
Lineage: Eukaryota; Metazoa; Chordata; Actinopteri; Semionotiformes; Lepisosteidae
Source: RNAcentral